RNAcentral lists this ribosomal RNA (275 nucleotides) under uncultured bacterium. RNAcentral's name for it is "partial 16S ribosomal RNA". It matches the Rfam family "Bacterial small subunit ribosomal RNA", at positions 399 to 691 of the family's 1533-position model. The record is from RNAcentral.
GCGUGAGUGAAGAAGGCCCUAGGGUUGUAAAACUCUUUCAGUGGUGAAGAUGAUGACGGUAACCACAGAAGAAGCUCCGGCUAACUUCGUGCCAGCAGCCGCGGUAAUACGAAGGGGGCGAGCGUUAUUCGGAAUCACUGGGCUUAAAGCGUGCGUAGGCGGAUUUACAAGUCAGAAGUGAAAGCCCGGGGCUCAACCCCGGAACUGCUUUUGAAACUGUAAGUCUAGAGUCCCGGAGAGGUUAGCGGAAUUCCGAGUGUAGAGGUGAAAUUCGC